GGUUGUGUUUCAGUGGUAGAGCGCUCGCUUUGCAUGUGCGAGACCCUGGGUUCAAUCCUCAGCACCA
RNAcentral lists this transfer RNA (67 nucleotides) under Marmota monax (woodchuck). RNAcentral's name for it is "tRNA.Ala". The record is from RNAcentral. Lineage: Eukaryota; Metazoa; Chordata; Mammalia; Rodentia; Sciuridae.